CCUACGGGAGGCAGCAGUGAGGAAUAUUGGUCAAUGGACGAGAGUCUGAACCAGCCAAGUAGCGUGAAGGAUGACUGCCCUAUGGGUUGUAAACUUCUUUUAUAUGGGAAUAAAACGUUCCACGUGUGGGAUUUUGUAUGUACCCUAUGAAUAAGGAUCGGCUAACUCCGUGCCAGCAGCCGCGGUAAUACGGAGGAUCCGAGCGUUAUCCGGAUUUAUUGGGUGUAAAGGGAGCGUAGGUGGAUUGUUAAGUCAGUUGUGAAAGUUUGCGGCUCAACCGUAAAAUUGCAGUUGAAACUGGCAGUCUUGAGUACAGUAGAGGUGAGCGGAAUUCGUGGUGUAGCGGUGAAAUGCUUAGAUAUCACGAAGAACUCCGAUUGCGAAGGCAGCUCACUGGACUGUAACUGACACUGAGGCUCGAAAGUGUGGGUAGCAAACAGGAUUAGAUACCCUAGUAGUC
This 460-nucleotide ribosomal RNA is filed under the name uncultured bacterium. Its description in RNAcentral is "partial 16S ribosomal RNA". It matches the Rfam family "Bacterial small subunit ribosomal RNA", at positions 338 to 795 of the family's 1533-position model. The record is from RNAcentral.